This 739-nucleotide ribosomal RNA is filed under the name Theba sp. 4 CG-2011. Its description in RNAcentral is "partial 16S ribosomal RNA". Lineage: Eukaryota; Metazoa; Mollusca; Gastropoda; Stylommatophora; Helicidae. The record is from RNAcentral.
UAUUGUUUUAGACAUUAAAUAUUACGUGAUAUAGUAAUGGUAAAAUAUAUUUUUAGGGGUGAUAGGCUUUUCAAAUAUGUUGAUAACUUGAUACACAUUAAAAUUAUUAAGUAUUAAGUCAUAUUAUAAAAGUUAAGUUUUAUAGUAAUAAUUAAUUUAGAUAAAUGCAUAUAUUAUAGUUUAACAGCUAAUUAAUAAUAAUAUAACGAUUUCUUUCUUUUUUUUAUUUAAUGUAAUGUGUUAUUUUUACUUAAGUAAAUAUUGAUAAUGUUAAUAUAAGUAAUAUUUAUAAAUAAUUAAAAGGAACUCGGCAAAUACAUUUUUCAACUGUUUAUCAAAAACAUAACUAUAUGGUACUAUAUAUAGCUGUUCCUGCUCAAUGAUUUUAAAUAGCCGCAGUACCCUGACUGUGCAAAGGUAGCAUAAUCAGUUGGCUUUUAAUUGGAGUCUAGAAUGAAUGGAUUUUUGGAAAAUAACUUUCUGUUUUUUAUUUUUUGGAAAUUAGUUUGUAAGUGAAAAUACUUACAUAUAUAUAAAGGACGAGAAGACCCUAGAAAUUUAAAUAUAAUUUUGUUGGGGCGACAGAAUUACAAAAAACUAAUUUGUUUAACGUGACGUUUUCACAGAUCGACUAAAUUACUCUAGGGAUAACAGCAUAAUUUUACAUAGUUUGUGACCUCGAUGUUGGAUUAGGAUAUUAAACGGUUUAGAAGAUCUUUAUUGUGGCUCUGUUCGAGCU